UCAAGCGAACAAGUGCAUGUGGUGGAUGCCUUGGCGAUCACAGGCGAUGAAGGACGCGGUAGCCUGCGAAAAGCUACGGGGAGCUGGCAAACGAGCUUUGAUCCGUAGAUGUCCGAAUGGGGAAACCCGGCCCUUUUGGGUCAUCCUGGACUGAAUACAUAGGUCCAGUGAAGCGAACGCGGUGAACUGAAACAUCUAAGUAACCGCAGGAAAAGAAAUCAACCGAGAUUCCCAAAGUAGUGGCGAGCGAAAUGGGAUGAGCCUUGCACUCUUUAUUUGUAUUGUUAGCCGAACGCUCUGGAAAGUGCGGCCAUAGCAGGUGAUAGCCCUGUAGGCGAAAACAGUAUGAAAGAACUAGGUGUGCGACAAGUAGGGCGGGACACGUGAAAUCCUGUCUGAAGAUGGGGGGACCAUCCUCCAAGGCUAAAUACUCGUGAUCGACCGAUAGUGAACCAGUACCGUGAGGGAAAGGCGAAAAGAACCCCGGGAGGGGAGUGAAAUAGAUCCUGAAACCGCAUGCAUACAAACAGUCGGAGCCUCGCAAGGGGUGACGGCGUACCUUUUGUAUAAUGGGUCAGCGACUUACGUUCAGUAGCAAGCUUAACCGUAUAGGGCAGGCGUAGCGAAAGCGAGUCCGAAUAGGGCGUUCAGUUGCUGGGCGUAGACCCGAAACCAGGUGAUCUAUCCAUGGCCAGGAUGAAGGUGCGGUAACACGUACGGGAGGUCCGAACGCACGAACGUUGAAAAGUUAGGGGAUGAGCUGUGGAUAGGGGUGAAAGGCUAAACAAACCUGGAAAUAGCUGGUUCUCUCCGAAAACUAUUUAGGUAGUGCCUCGUGUCUCACCUUCGGGGGUAGAGCACUGUCAUGGUUGGGGGGUCUAUUGCAGAUUACCCCGCCAUAGCAAACUCCGAAUACCGAAGAGUGCAAUCACGGGAGACAGACAUCGGGUGCUAACGUCCGGUGUCAAGAGGGAAACAACCCAGACCGCCAGCUAAGGUCCCCAAAUAUAGCUAAGUGGGAAACGAAGUGGGAAGGCUAAAACAGUCAGGAGGUUGGCUUAGAAGCAGCCACCCUUUAAAGAAAGCGUAAUAGCUCACUGAUCGAGUCGUCCUGCGCGGAAGAUGUAACGGGGCUAAGCUAUAUACCGAAGCUGCGGAUGCGAGCUUGCUCGCAUGGUAGGAGAGCGUUCCGUAAGCCUGCGAAGGUGCCUUGUAAAGGGUGCUGGAGGUAUCGGAAGUGCGAAUGCUGACAUGAGUAGCGAUAAAGGGGGUGAAAGGCCCCCUCGCCGUAAGCCCAAGGUUUCCUACGCAACGUUCAUCGGCGUAGGGUGAGUCGGCCCCUAAGGCGAGGCAGAAAUGCGUAGCUGAUGGGAAGCAGGUCAAUAUUCCUGCACCAUUGUUAGAUGCGAUGGGGGGACGGAUCGCGGAAGGUUGUCCGGGUGUUGGAAGUCCCGGUCGCUGCAUUGGAGAAGGCGCUUAGGCAAAUCCGGGCGCGCAAUUCAAGGGUGUGGCGCGAGCUCCUUAGGGAGCGAAGCAAUUGGAAGUGGUUCCAAGAAAAGCCUCUAAGCUUCAGUCUAACGAUGACCGUACCGCAAACCGACACAGGUGGGCGAGAUGAGUAUUCUAAGGCGCUUGAGAGAACUCGGGAGAAGGAACUCGGCAAAUUGGUACCGUAACUUCGGGAUAAGGUACGCCCUUGUAGCUUGACUGGCCUGCGCCAGGAGGGUGAAGGGGUUGCAAUAAACUGGUGGCUGCGACUGUUUAAUAAAAACACAGCACUCUGCAAACACGAAAGUGGACGUAUAGGGUGUGACGCCUGCCCGGUGCCGGAAGAUUAAAUGAUGGGGUGCAAGCUCUUGAUUGAAGUCCCGGUAAACGGCGGCCGUAACUAUAACGGUCCUAAGGUAGCGAAAUUCCUUGUCGGGUAAGUUCCGACCUGCACGAAUGGCGUAACGAUGGCCACACUGUCUCCUCCCGAGACUCAGCGAAGUUGAAGUGUUUGUGAUGAUGCAAUCUACCCGCGGCUAGACGGAAAGACCCCAUGAACCUUUACUGUAGCUUUGCAUUGGACUUUGAACCGAUCUGUGUAGGAUAGGUGGGAGGCUAUGAAACCGGAACGCUAGUUUCGGUGGAGCCGUCCUUGAAAUACCACCCUGGUUUGUUUGAGGUUCUAACCUUGGCCCGUGAUCCGGGUCGGGGACAGUGCAUGGUAGGCAGUUUGACUGGGGCGGUCUCCUCCCAAAGCGUAACGGAGGAGUACGAAGGUACGCUAGGUACGGUCGGAAAUCGUGCUGAUAGUGCAAUGGCAUAAGCGUGCUUAACUGCGAGACCGACAAGUCGAGCAGGUGCGAAAGCAGGUCAUAGUGAUCCGGUGGUUCUGUAUGGAAGGGCCAUCGCUCAACGGAUAAAAGGUACUCUGGGGAUAACAGGCUGAUACCGCCCAAGAGUUCAUAUCGACGGCGGUGUUUGGCACCUCGAUGUCGGCUCAUCUCAUCCUGGGGCUGUAGCCGGUCCCAAGGGUAUGGCUGUUCGCCAUUUAAAGAGGUACGUGAGCUGGGUUUAAAACGUCGUGAGACAGUUUGGUCCCUAUCUGCCGUGGGCGUUGGAUAUUUGAAGGGGGCUGCUCCUAGUACGAGAGGACCGGAGUGGACGAACCUCUGGUGUACCGGUUGUCACGCCAGUGGCAUCGCCGGGUAGCUAUGUUCGGAAGAGAUAACCGCUGAAAGCAUCUAAGCGGGAAACUCGCCUUAAGAUGAGAUAUCCCUGGAGGCUAGACCUCCUUGAAGGGUCGUUCGAGACCAGGACGUUGAUAGGUCAGGUGUGUAAGCGCAGUAAUGCGUUCAGCUAACUGAUACUAAUUGCCCGUAAGGCUUGAUCC
Molecule: ribosomal RNA, 2878 nt
Filed under: Burkholderia sola
Lineage: Bacteria; Pseudomonadati; Pseudomonadota; Betaproteobacteria; Burkholderiales; Burkholderiaceae
Description: 23S ribosomal RNA
Rfam family: Bacterial large subunit ribosomal RNA
Source: RNAcentral